RNAcentral lists this ribosomal RNA (1493 nucleotides) under uncultured Bordetella sp. RNAcentral describes it as "partial 16S-23S ribosomal RNA intergenic spacer". It matches the Rfam family "Bacterial small subunit ribosomal RNA". Lineage: Bacteria; Pseudomonadati; Pseudomonadota; Betaproteobacteria; Burkholderiales; Alcaligenaceae. The record is from RNAcentral.
GUCGUGAUUCUGGCUCAGAUUGAACGCUGGCGGGAUGCUUUACACAUGCAAGUCGAACGGCAGCACAGACUUCGGUCUGGUGGCGAGUGGCGAACAGGAGUAAUGUAUCGGAACGUGCCUAGUAGCGGGGAUAACUACGCGAAAGCGUAGCUAAUACCGCAUACGCCUCGGGGGAAAGCGGGGGGACCUCGGGCCUCGCACUAUUAGAGCGGCCGAUAUCGGAUUAGCUAGCUGGUGGGGUAACGGCUCACCAAGGCGACGAUCCGCAGCUGGUUUGAGAGGACGACCAGCCACACUGGGACUGGAGACACGGCCCAGACUCCUACGGGAGGCAGCAGUGGGGAAUUUUGGACAAUGGGGAAACUCCUGAUUCAGCCAUCCUCCGCGUGUAAGAUGAAGGCCUUCGGGUUGUAAAGAAUUCUUUGGCAGGAAAGAAACGGCACGGGAUAAUACCAGGCACCUGACGGUACCUGCAGAAAUAAGCACCGGCUAACUACCACGUGCCAGCAGCCGCGGUAAUACGUAGGGUGCAAGCGUUAAUCGGAAUUACUGGGCGUAAAGCGUGCGCAGGCGGUUCGGAAAAAGAAAGAUGUGAAACUUCAGAGCUUAACUUUGGAACUGCAUUUUUAACUACCGAGCUAGAGUAGUCGAGGAGGUGGAAUUCCGCGUGUAGCAGUGAAAUGCGUAGAUAUGCGGAGAACACCGAUGGCGCAAGGCAGCCUCCUGGGAUAACACUGACGCUCAUGCACGAAAGCGUGGGGAGCAAACAGGAUUAGAUACCCCGGUAGUCCACGCCCUAAACGAUGUCAACUAGUUGUUGGGGCCUUCGCCUUGGUAGCGCAGCUAACGCGUGAAGUUGACCGCCUGGGGAGUACGGUCGCAAGAUUAAAACCUCAAAGGAAUUGACGGGGACCCGCACAAGCGGUGGAUGAUGUGGAUUAAUUCGAUGCAACGCGAAAACCUUACCUACCCUUGACAUGUCUUGGAAUCCCGAAGAGAUUUGGGAGUGCUCGCAAGAGAACCGGAACACAGGUGCUGCAUGGCUGUCGUCAGCUCGUGUCGAGAUGCUGGGUUAAGUCCCGCAACGAGCGCAACCCUUGUCAUUAGUUGCUACGAAAGGGCACCUCAUCGAGACUGCCGGUGACAAACCGAGGAAGGUGGGGAUGACGUCAAGUCCUCAUGGCCCUUAUGGGUAGAGCUUCACAUGUCAUACAAUGGUCGGGACAGAGGGCUUCGCCAACCCGGGCGAGGGGGAGCCAAUCCUAGAAAACCCGAUCGUAGUCCGGAUCGCAGUCUGCAACUCGACUGCGGUGAAGUCGGAAUCGCUAGUAAUCGCGGAUCAGCAUGUCGCGGUGAAUACGUUCCCGGGUCUUGUACACACCGCCCGUCACACCAUGGGGAGUGGGUUUUACCAGAAGUAGUUAGCCUAACCGGUAAGGAGGGCGAUUACCACGGUAGGAUUCAUGACUGGGGUGAAGUCGUAACAAGGUAGC